This 162-nucleotide ribosomal RNA is filed under the name Phytopythium vexans. RNAcentral describes it as "5.8S ribosomal RNA". It matches the Rfam family "5.8S ribosomal RNA". Rfam says of the family: 5.8S ribosomal RNA (5.8S rRNA) is a component of the large subunit of the eukaryotic ribosome. The record is from RNAcentral. Lineage: Eukaryota; Oomycota; Peronosporomycetes; Pythiales; Pythiaceae.
UAACAACUUUCAGCAGUGGAUGUCUAGGCUCGCACAUCGAUGAAGAACGCUGCGAACUGCGAUACGUAAUGCGAAUUGCAGGAUUCAGUGAGUCAUCGAACUUUUGAACGCAUAUUGCACUUUCGGGUUACGCCUGGAAGUAUGUCUGUAUCAGUGUCCGUA